GACAGAGGGUGCUAACGUUGUUCGGAAUUACUGGGCGUAAAGCGCGUGUAGGCGGCGCUGCAAGUCGGAUGUGAAAGCCCUGGGCUCAACCUGGGAAGUGCAUUCGAAACUGCGGGGCUUGAGUUCUGGAGAGGAUGGCGGAAUUCUCGGUGUAGAGGUGAAAUUCGUAGAUAUCGAGAGGAACACCGGUGGCGAAGGCGGCCAUCUGGACAGCGACUGACGCUGAGACGCGAAAGCGUGGGGAG
Molecule: ribosomal RNA, 245 nt
Filed under: uncultured bacterium
Lineage: Bacteria
Description: partial 16S ribosomal RNA
Rfam family: Bacterial small subunit ribosomal RNA
Source: RNAcentral